CCAAAAAUUUUGAGUAUUACCUGAUUUUCAAUAUUUGUUUGGAACCAGCUGAAAAAAAAAUCAAACUGCACUAGAACUGAACCAAAUCUGAAAAAAAAACGAUUUUGAACCAAAUUUCAUAACUCUUAUCAGUUCACAUAUCUCUAUAUCCAAAAAUAACCAAAACUUUAACCAGAACCGAAAAAAAUCAAACAAUCAAAACCAAAAAUGAAUGUUCAGGCAUACUUAAUGUUUAUUGAUUUUUAAAAAUGACAUUUUACUUCGUAUAUUAUAUAAACUUAUAAGAAUAAUAAGAAAAAAAAUUGAACUUAAAAAAUUAAUGCUACGAGAUCAUAGAUCAAAGUUAUUAACCGAUUUUUCAAAGCUUUUAACUUUUUGAAUAAAGGAAGCUUUGCAGAUGGACAAUCGAGACUCUUCCCAAUUUAAGUAAACAAUGCACAUUGUAAAUUAUAUUAUUAAAUAUUAUUACACUCAUUCAUGUAAAAAGCGUUAAUUCAUCGUAAUCUAUUAUGUUCAUGCACGUUUAUGUCUAAUGUACAAAUAUUACUAAGUUUGUUAGGCAAGAAAUAUUACCACACCUCUAACUUUGUAAAGUAAUUUUUUCUGGUUUCAUUUGAAAUAAAAUUUAUAUAUGAACACUAAUUCAUAAUUAUCAAACAUCAAACAUGGAUUAUUGUUUAUAUAUGGAAAAUUUUAACAAAUGUUUGAAAAUUCAACUUAUGAUACGGAUAAUACUUUAUCUUUGUUCAAUACUGAUAAAUUUAUCAAGUACUGGGAAUAAUAGUAUUCAAACAAUAGCGAAAUAAUGAAAUUAGGAUACUGAAAAAUGUGAAAAAACUAAAGAAAAUGUGCUACUUGCAACUGAGUUGGUAUUUAAAUGAUCAAUUUAUUUUAUCAGUCUCUUCAAAAUCUGUUCAUCUCUUCAUGAGAAACAUGCAAAUAACAUAAUGUUUAUUUUUGUUGAAAGAUGAAUAGUAUUAAUCAACAAAAACAAAAUUUAAGGAUAUGAUAUAAAAUAUCCUAGAAAAUAUUUGAGAACAGUUUUGGCAUUCUAAAAAACAUAGCAAAAUAUAGAAAUAUAUAUCUCAAAAAUAUUUUGAAAACUUGGAAAGUUGAAAAACAAAAACAAAAACAAAAACGGGAUAGCAAGAGAGUCUUCAUCAUGUUACUUCCAAAUGUGCUUAAUGCUCAAUGAGUUCCAUUUAGUAAGCAAAUCAUGGCUUUGCAAUGAAUUCAGCGAUAAAGAUUGAAUACAUGAUGUAUGUUAUUUAAAUUUGUAUAAAUAUUGCAUCUCUUUUCCUGCCUAAAACACUGACACAUGCUAGUUAAAAAAAAAUCAAAUUUUACCCUUGUAAAAAUAAUCAAUUUAUUAUGCAUGCAUAUCUGUUUAUCCCAUAUAAUAGAAUACAUUAUAAAAACAUUUAUUGGUGUUUCUUUGUCAAUCAAUUUUUUUUAUCUCACUCUUGGGGUAUGUUUCCACUUUCACAAAUAUUUGAAGACAUAUUCACAUAUAAAAUUAUUUUUGUUUUUUUAAUAAAGAUAUCACUUCAAAAUUCCAGAAAAAUAAAAAAAAUAUUUACCCUUACAGUUUAUUCAUUGUGAAUUUUUUUAAAGGAAUAUAAUAUGCAAAAACUAUAGAAAAUAAAUUUAUAAUCUUUAUUUUCACUCCAGCUCUUCUUAAAGAAAUGCAUAAAUAAAUAAAAUUAUAAAUAGUUGAAAGAAAACUUUACCUGAUUCUUAUGUGUUUUUUAUUACAUAAUAAACAUUACAAGAUCAUUUCUAAAGUAUUAUGGCAAAGGUUGAAGAUAUGCCUCCCUUCCCUUAUUUUGGAAACUCAAUCGGCAUUUGUGGCUGAAAGCUGAUUUCAGAUAAUAUUCUUAUCACUCGGGAAAUAUUUCAUGGAUUAAGGACCAACAAGUCAUGCCAAAAUAAAUAUAUGGCAAUCAAAACAUAUAUGAGUAAAGCGUAUGAUAGGCUGGAAUGAGAUUAUAUACAGUUCCUUUUACCUACACAAAAUGGCGUUUGAUCCUCACUAAGAUCAAACUAAUGAUGGCAUAUAUAUCCACGGUUCAAUACAUGGUCUUAUUAAAUGGUCUCCCGAAAGGGCAUAUAAUCCCACAUAGAGGUCUGCGCCAAGAAGACCCUUUAUCUCAUAGUGUAUUCAUCAUGUGUAAGUAGGCGCUAAUCGUAAAUAUUAAAAAAAAAUUGAGAGAGAGAGAAAAAAACUAACGGGAAUGAAUAUGGCUAUGGCUUGUCCUCCGAUAUCUCUUUUACUCUUUUCAGAUGACAGCUUAAUUUUUUUUUUGUAAGGCUCAAAGGAUGAGUGUCAAAACAUUCUCAGGAUUUUAAAGGAAUAUGAGGCAGUAUCAAAUCAACUGAUAAUCUUCCAAAAAUCUUCUAUUCAAUUUGGACACAAGAUUGAGGUUUCCUCAAUCGGCAUGAUAUGCAGAAAAUUCUAGGGAUACAUAAUUUAGAAGGGAUUGGAUCGUAUUUAGAAAUACCAGAGAGUCUGGGAGGCUCAAAAAAUACAGGUAUUUGGUUUUAUUCACGAUCGUUUGAACAACAAAGUUAAUGGAUGGACUUUUAAGUUCUUUACCAAAGGAGGAAAGGAAGUAAUUAUAAAUCAGUGGUUUUGGCUUUACCAAGCCAUGUGAUGUCUUGUUUUUGUCUACGAAAGACCGAAUCAAAGAAACUAACGAGUGCGGUAACCCAAUUCUGGUGGAGUCUAUGAGGAAGGACAAAAGGCAUACAUUGGAAAUCAUGGGACAAAUUAUGUCAAAUUAAGAAUGAAGAGGUUUGGGAUUUAAAUAUCUCACGGAUUUUAAUACGGCCAUGGUAAGAAAGAAGUUAUGGCGUUUAAUCGAGAAACCGAAUACUUUCUUCUCUCGGGUUUUCAAGAUCGGUACUUCAGAAAAGCAUCACCCUGGAACCGAUUAGAUCAUACUUCAUAUCAUAUGGCUGGCGUAGUAUUGUCUCUGCUAGAUCUUUGGUAAGCAAAGGACUAAUGAAAAGAGUGGGAUCAAGAUCAACUAUAUUAGUAUGGAAUAACCUUUGGCUCUCAAUCACUCGCCCGAGAUCAGCAAAUAGUAAUCAUUAUAACCUUUACCCUGACCUAACGGUCUACUAUCUCAUCAAGACAGAAUCACGAACAUAAAAUUCAUAGGUAAUACAGUCUUUGGUGGAUCCCCAAGAUACAAAGAUUAAAGAGAGUAUACCUUUGAGUAAGAUACAACUAGCCAACAUAGACGGAUGACAUUUCACGAAAGAUGAGAACUACACGGUCAAAUCUGGAUACCAAGUGGAACGAGUUUACCUUGAUAAAAAAAACAAAUAUUAGUGUUUUGUCCCACAGUCGCUUCUCUGAAGGCGUUUAUUGGAAAAUAUGAUGUCCACCGAAAAUGAAGCAAUUUCUGUGGCAAAUAGUAUCAGGAUGUAUUGCAGUUAAGAAAAACUUACGAGCGAGAGGAAUGCAAGGGGGCAUAUGUUGUACGAGAUGUGGGGGCACCGAGGAAUCAAUCAACCACAUUUUUUUGAACGUCCACCAGCAAUCCAAGUUUGAGCACUCUAAAAAAUCCCAUCGAAUCGAGCUAUUUUUACUACUCAUCCACUUUUCGCAAAUAUGGAUCAUUUAUUUUGGAGAGUUCUCCGACAAAUGGAAGAUAUCAAUUCAUUGGGAUAUUAUGAUAUAUAUGGAAGGGACGAAAUAAUAAAGUUUUCAGUAACGUGGAUAUUGAUCCAAUGCAUACUUUAAAAUUGAUAGAAACAUAAUCUCUUCUUUGGGCGGAGUAACAAGUUUCACUGACACAAGGGCUUCCUCAAAAUCCUGAGGUAAAUGUCUAUACUUUACGAACUAUACAAGAUAGAUAGUGUUUCACGGAUGGAUCAUAGAAUGACCAGAAAUGUUUUUCAGGAAAAGGUUGGUACAAUACUUUAGAAGGUUUUGAUGGUUUGAUGAGAGCAAAAAAUACAAGGACUAGCUCGUCUUCCUUCACUCAGAAGUGGAAGCGCUCAUUUAGAAAAUGGAAUGUAUGAGAAAUUUACGUCAGUUUCAGGUCACAUUUGCAACAUAUUGUUUUCAGACAUUAAAUCACCUAAACUUUAAAUCAAUAUGGUCUUAGAGUAUCUAGCAUUAAGAUCAUAUCUAGCCUUAAACAUACUAAAAACCAUUAACUAUCUAGUCCAAAAACAUAAAGAUGACUACUCAGUAACCUCCAUGAAAACACAAAUAACUACGAAAACAAUCUGCAUAUUCAUUCAUACAAAGGAAGAUACAUAAUCAAGAAACACUAAGAGAUUAGAGAAAGCUUCCAUAACACAAAUAACUAUAAAAACAGUUUGCAUGCAUAAUUGCAUAAAGCAGGGGGCUAAAGUGUACAUAUGAAAGUUUGGAGUGAAAUCGUAAGGUUAUUUCAGUAACUUAUGAAGUUUAGGGUCCAAAAUGAAAACAAUACAAAGAUCAGGAACCAUACGGCAAUUACGAGGAGGUCUCCUCAAUCGAAAGUUUGGGUUCAAUUUGAAAGGAUAUAAUUUCAAAUCAGAAACAUCUUGGGGAAUGGAAAACGACGAGAAUACAGGGAGGGACCAAGGUUGCGAAUUGAUGGAACAUCUCAAUCGAAGAACACUGUCACGGCUCGGAACUGAGGUCACGAGGGUGCUGGCUUGUAGCGGGUCCCUGCACCGGUGGGAGCUAACGACGAUUGUUUGACCUUGUGCUAGUGAAUCUCCACUCUAAUUUAAACAAACAACAAGAUUGAAGGUGGCUUUAUAAAUAAGUGCGUCUUGGAGCUAUGAGGAUCUACAGCUCUGAGAUUUAUAGCUUAAGCAAUCCGACACGCCUUCCGAUAUGUCUUCUUAUGUUCUUCUCGCUAACUUGAGAGCAGGCCGUUGCUCAAACACCGCUGAAGUUCGUCUUCUGAGGUUCUGGGAAGCUCGCAACGACAGGAAAGAUGGAGAGCUUAUGAGCCUUGACAUGCUUCUCCUUGAUGAACAGUCUACGCUGAUACACAGGAGCAUGAACUCAAGCCGCGUUGACACUUUCCGGAGGCGGCUCAGUGAAGGCUCCGUCUACUCUCUCAGUGGUUUCGACGUGGCACGGGCUAACCAAAAAUUCUGACUCUCUGACUCUCCGGUGUCCAUACGCUUCAAUGAUGGGACUGAGUUAUUCAGGUUUCGCAGCCAUGAACAGCUUCUGGCAUUGGCAAAUACUAACAGAGAACUCCCAGGUUUAUCUCUUCUGUACUAAUACACUUAUCCAAUUGCCUUUUCUCACCUCUAUUAACGUUUGUUUUUUUUAUUUAAAAAAAAAACAAAUUUCAAGAUAUCGUUGGUGAAGUAAGGAGCACGAUCACCGACGUACGCGGUCCUCAGCGUGUAAUGGUGACUCUGCGUUUGGAAGGGUAAGCUGAAUAUUUGUUUAUCCAGUAAUUGACAUCAAACAAACUCAUGUUGUUUUAGCUUUGUCUUUGAUUUCCAUGGUGUGUAUUGGGCAACACUGGAUCUGAAUUGAGUUUCAAACGACAUAUAUUACAGUGCGUAUAGUGCUCUAACGAGAGGAUCAGUCAUACCAUAUACGCUCCACGUUUUGGCUUUGGAUUGAGAUACAACAAUUGCUUGGCUCUCUGUUAUUGAGGAUAACCUGAGAGCAGCACUUGGUAGAAUGGGAUUGAGUUCGCGAGGAAUGGAAGGUGUUAUUGAUCAAGUGCGGAACAAACAUUAUCAGCUUGCAUGCACAAUGACCUUUGAAGCUGUUUAUGGCACAUCGUGUGAUGCUGGUAUCAACCAUCCAAACCAAUACUUCGAGGAGAGUCGGAAGAUUUUGAAAUCCAAGACGCCCCUGCUCCGGUUUAAAUUAUGAAUACGAUGAGGAAUUGUGUUGAAUUAGAAUCACAGUUUUUCAGAAAUUUCAACUCCUGAAAACCAUGCCUGCAGUAUGCACAAACCUUUCGGCU
This is a long non-coding RNA of Brassica napus (rape), 5948 nucleotides long. RefSeq lists it as uncharacterized. The record is from RefSeq and is a predicted model, not a curated record. The transcript is spliced from 5 exons. NCBI's taxonomy places the organism in Eukaryota, Viridiplantae, Streptophyta, Magnoliopsida, Brassicales, Brassicaceae.